Molecule: long non-coding RNA, 972 nt
Organism: Physella acuta
Lineage: Eukaryota; Metazoa; Mollusca; Gastropoda; Physidae
Source: RefSeq, a predicted model, not a curated record
GUGUGCUGUCGGAAUAUUGACACAACUGCAGUGGGUUGGUGUCAGUGACCUACAUUUUGAGUGUUCGUGUGCUAGUAAUGUUUUUAUUUGGUUUGUAAGUGACCUACAUGUUGUGGUUUAGUGUGUUAGUGACCUACAUGUAGGAUAGUGUCUAAAGUUUAGUUUUCUGUUGUUUCAGUUUCGCUCUGAGUCACAGAGGUCCGGACACACCAAACAAAUGAUUUACUGUCAUUAAACGGACACAACUAAAUGUACUGAGGUAAAAUUAACUGAACUGCGCACCUGGUUUCUACAAGAGCGGUAAGGUGUGCACCAAGUGUGAAGUGGGGACCUAUCAAGACAGAGAACAAGCAACUUUUUGCAUCACAUGUCCCAGAGGAACGACAACUGCGGGUAAGGGAGCUCAGUCAGUUACCCAGUGUGUCACCAACUCCUGCAUGUACUACCCUAUAGAGCUGGGCUACUGGGACUCGUGUCAAUACAAUCCAGACUCAGUAAAAGAGAAAGACUCCAACAUUGGGAUGAUCGUUGGUCUGACGCUUGGUCUGGUAGCUUUUGGUGCUCUUCUUGUCGUUUGCUUCAUCCUCAUCAAAAGAUACGUCUUUAAAAGUCACAAGCGCCCAACGAGUCCAAAAGUCUACCCGUAUGAAGUUUCGGCUAGCCGUGUCCAUCUGGAGACCUUGUCCCCACCCCCUGACUAUAACUCUCUGAUGGCUCAGGGCAGAAAACAUAUCUAAAUCAUCAAACUAACAUAUUAUUUUUACCACCAUGAUUUGUUUCUUAUGUAUAUUUUAUCCGCCUAACAUUCAAGUGACGAAUUAAAACAAGGUUUUUUUCUUGCAAUGAACAACUUUAAAUUAUUGGAACUUUAAUUUUUUAUUAUAAUAAUAUUAUAUGUAUUAGGUUUUAUACUAAUUUGUAAAAUUAAACUUUAGGUAUUUGCAUUGUUUUACAAGAAAAUAAACACAGACA